Molecule: long non-coding RNA, 1066 nt
Filed under: Cricetulus griseus (Chinese hamster)
Lineage: Eukaryota; Metazoa; Chordata; Mammalia; Rodentia; Cricetidae
Description: lncRNA (ENSCGRG00015029010.1)
Source: RNAcentral
AGGAGAAAGUGCAGAGUCACCAUGUGAGCCUGGAAAGACAGGACGCUUGUUGAUGACAUUCAAUAAGCAGUGGGACCUGGCAAAACAAGGGAAAAUCCAGCAAUACUCCUGCCUCCAGAAUCUUGCCCUAUUUGAGUUCCUGUCCUGACUUCCUUCAGUGAUGAACAGCAACAUAAAAGUCCUAGAUGCCCCUCAACCGAAGAAUGGAUGGAGAAAAUGUACAUUUACACAAUGGAGUACUACUCAGCAGAAAAAAAAAAAAAAACAAUGGAAUCUUGAAAUUUGCAGGAAAAUGGAUGGAACUCGAAGAAACCAUUCUGAGCAAGUGUAACACAAAUAAUAAAAACCCAGAGGCAGAUAUUGGAGUUCAAGCUGAAGAUCAGAAAAGCAAAGCAGCCAAGCCACCAGAGAGCUCCACCUCUACAAGUCUGGGGAGAUCCUGUCUUGAACAUGGCUGGAGACUAAUUGCCACAAUCCAAGACCCUGCUCCUGUUUUAUAUACCUCUCUGGUGCUGGGAUUUAAGCCUUCAUCCAGCAGCUGGUGGAAGUAGAAGUAGACACUCACAGCUAAACACUGAACUGAACUGGAAUCCAGUUGCAGAGAAGGAGGAAUGAUGAGCAAAGUGGACAAGACCUUGCUGGUGAAAUCCACAGAAACAGCUGACCUGAACAAGGUGGAACUCUUGGCCCCCAGACUGAUCAUGGGAAACCAGCAUAGGACUGAUCCAGACCCCAUGAAUGUGGGUGUCAGGGAGGAGGCCUCUGAAAUCUAUGGGGCCUCUUGUAGUAGAUCAGUACUUAUCCCUAGCAUAGGAAUGGACUUUGGGAGCCCAUUUCACAUAGAGGGAUACUCCCUCAGCCUAGACACACAGGGGAGGAGGGCCUAGGCCCUAUCCCAAAGGAUAUGACAGACUCUGAAGAGAUCCCCUAUGGAAGGCCUCACCCUCCCUGGGGAGCAGAAAUGGUAUGGAAUAGGUAGGGUGUUUAUUGGGGGGCAGGGGAGGAGAAGAGGGAGAGGGAACUGGGAUUUACAUGUAAAACAAUAUUGUUUCUAAUUUAAAUAAAA